AUGCCGCGUGAGUGAAGAAGGCCUUUGGGUUGUAAAGCUCUUUUGUAGGGGAAGAUAAUGACUGUACCCUAAGAAUAAGGUCCGGCUAACUUCGUGCCAGCAGCCGCGGUAAUACGAAGGGACCUAGCGUAGUUCGGAAUUACUGGGCGUAAAGCGCGCGUAGGCCGUUGAGUUAGUUAAUUGUGAAAUCCCAAAGCUUAACUUUGGAACUGCAAUUAAAACUGCUCGACUAGAGUUUGAUAGAGGAAAGCGGAAUACAUAGUGUAGAGGUGAAAUUCGUAGAUAUUAUGUAGAACACCAGUUGCGAAGGCGGCUUUCUGGAUCAACACUGACGCUGAGGCGCGAAAGUAUGGGUAGCAAAGAGGAUUAGAUACCCUCGUAGUCCAUACCAUAAACGAUGAUUGCUAGAUGUUGGAAAUUUAUUUUCAGUAUCGCAGCUAACGCAUUAAGCAAUCCGCCUGGGGAGUACGACCGCAAGGUUAAAACUCAAAUGAAUUGACGGGGACCCGCACAAGCGGUGGAGCAUGUGGUUUAAUUCGAAGAUACGCGCAGAACCUUACCAACCCUUGACAUGUCUGUCGCGAGUUUAGGAAACUAGACUUUUCGGUUCGGCCGGACAGAACACAGGUGCUGCAUGGCUGUCGUCAGCUCGUGUCGUGAGAUGUUGGGUUAAGUCCCGCAACGAGCGCAACCCCUACUUUUAGUUGCCAUCAGGUCAUGCUGGGCACUCUGAAAGAACUGCCAGUGAUAAGCUGGAGGAAGGUGGGG
RNAcentral lists this ribosomal RNA (768 nucleotides) under uncultured bacterium. RNAcentral describes it as "bacterial SSU rRNA". It matches the Rfam family "Bacterial small subunit ribosomal RNA", at positions 394 to 1178 of the family's 1533-position model. The record is from RNAcentral.